GGGUCAUUAGGUUGGUCGUGCCACCGGUACGUACUGGUCUCACUGAUUCCUCCUUCCUGAAGAACCGUAAUGCCAUUAAUUUGGUGUUGCGGGGAAACAGGACUGUUACUUUGAAAAAAUUAGAGUGUUUAAAGCAAGCUAACGCUUGAAUACAUUAGCGUGGAAUAAUGAAAUAGGACGAUCGAUCCUAUUUUGUUGGUUUCUAGGAUUGACGUA
Molecule: ribosomal RNA, 216 nt
Filed under: Glomeromycotina sp.
Lineage: Eukaryota; Fungi; Glomeromycota
Description: partial small subunit ribosomal RNA
Rfam family: Eukaryotic small subunit ribosomal RNA (bases 40-216)
Source: RNAcentral